AUUGAACGCUGGCGGCAGGCCUAACACAUGCAAGUCGAGCGGUAGAGAGAAGCUUGCUUCUCUUGAGAGCGGCGGACGGGUGAGUAAUGCCUAGGAAUCUGCCUGGUAGUGGGGGAUAACGUUCGGAAACGGACGCUAAUACCGCAUACGUCCUACGGGAGAAAGCAGGGGACCUUCGGGCCUUGCGCUAUCAGAUGAGCCUAGGUGGGAUUAGCUAGUUGGUGGGGUAAUGGCUCACCAAGGCGGCGAUCCGUAACUGGUCUGAGAGGAUGAUCAGUCACACUGGAACUGAGACACGGUCCAGACUCCUACGGGAGGCAGCAGUGGGGAAUAUUGGACAAUGGGCGGAAGCCUGAUCCAGCCAUGCCGCGUGUGUGAAGAAGGUCUUCGGAUUGUAAAGCACUUUAAGUUGGGAGGAAGGGCAGUAAAUUAAUACUUUGCUGUUUUGACGUUACCGACAGAAUAAGCACCGGCUAACUCUGUG
Molecule: ribosomal RNA, 484 nt
Filed under: uncultured bacterium
Lineage: Bacteria
Description: partial 16S ribosomal RNA
Rfam family: Bacterial small subunit ribosomal RNA
Source: RNAcentral